This is a long non-coding RNA of Alnus glutinosa, 324 nucleotides long. RefSeq lists it as uncharacterized. The transcript has 2 exons. The record is from RefSeq and is a predicted model, not a curated record. Lineage: Eukaryota; Viridiplantae; Streptophyta; Magnoliopsida; Fagales; Betulaceae.
GGGGGGGGGGGGGGUGCUUGACCCCUCUCGACCCCCCCUCCCUCCGCCCCUGCUUCACAUUUACCCCUCAAGGAAAAUUUUUAUCGUGGUUGACACUGUCUCGUCCUUCCUUCAAGUUCAAGCCACAACAGUCCACAACUCUUAAAAUGGACUUGCUUCAAAAUCAUUUCUUUCCAAGCUUUCAAGAUUGAGAAUGACGCUUCUGGCUUCAGCUCCGUUCCAUCUGGUUUGUUUUCUACUUUCCUGUCCUUUGAUUUUCUGGAUUUUGUGUAUGAGAUUUGUUGGUUGAUUUUUAUUUUAUUUUUUAAGUCGGAUUUGUUGGUU